This 373-nucleotide long non-coding RNA is filed under the name Mytilus galloprovincialis (Mediterranean mussel). Lineage: Eukaryota; Metazoa; Mollusca; Bivalvia; Mytilida; Mytilidae. The record is from RNAcentral.
GAUUUUUUUCGUUUCUGUUCUCUUAACUUAAGUUUGUCUCAACUAAAUUUAAUGAAAUGUUUAUAUAAUUCUUAGUACCUCUAAACUCAGUUCAAGUUCAAUUUUUGGCAGCUUCACUUUUACAGUUCUUGAGUUAUGUCCCUUUUUAACGUUAUAUGCUAGUGGGGGCAUCAUCUGUGUCCCUUUGGACACAUUCCCCAUUUAUUUUUUUAGAAGUUACUAUUAAUUAAAAUUAAUUUUAACCAUAACAUUUUAUAUUUAAAUAUUUUAUGAUGUAUUUAAAUGAGUAGUUAUUGUUGCAAACUCCAUUAGAAAUUUGAAUUGAGAUCAUUUUUGGAAUAAGGGAAAGGAGGAGAUGAAAAAAAAUUGGGGG